RNAcentral lists this antisense RNA (505 nucleotides) under Streptomyces dysideae. RNAcentral describes it as "Streptomyces sp. RV15 Saccharopolyspora sRNA 350". It matches the Rfam family "Saccharopolyspora sRNA 350". Lineage: Bacteria; Bacillati; Actinomycetota; Actinomycetes; Kitasatosporales; Streptomycetaceae. The record is from Rfam by way of RNAcentral.
CGGGCGGUGUACUCCCAGAUGGCGUCGGGGUCGAGCAGCGCGUCCUCGCCGAAAUAGGCCCCGUCGGCGAGCACGCCGAGGACGGCAUCGUCCCCGUAGGGACCGGUGCCGAUCUUCUCGACCCUGCCGUGCGCCAGCAGAUACACCUCGUCGGUCGGGUUGCCGAAGGACGCGAUCACCGACCCCGCGGAGAACUCCCGCUGCUGGCAGCGCUGGGCGAGCUCGGCGAGCACGUCCUCGUCGUCGUACGACCGCAGCGCCGGCAGUUCGGUCAGCUCCGCCGGGAUGACCUCGACGCGAUCACCGGUCUUCACGAACGUGAUGCGGCCGUCGUCCACGGCGUAGGUCAGACGCCGGUUCACGCGGUACGUACCGCCCUGCACGUUCACCCAUGGCAGCGUUCGCAGCAGCCAGCGGGAGCUGAUCUCCUGCAUCUGCGGUGCGGACUUGGUCGUGGUGGCCAGGUUCCGCGCGGCUGCCGUGUCGAGACUCUGCUGCGGCUUGG